CCACCACCCCAUAGAGAUCCACCACCCCAUGGAGACCACCACCCCAUAGAGAUCCACCACCCCAUGGAGACCACCACCCCAUGGAGAUCCACCACCCCAUAGAGAUCCACCACCCCAUGGAGAUCCACCACCCCAGCAUCUCACCACCCCAUGGGAUCCCACCACCCCAUGGGACCCACGACCCCAGCAUCUCACCACCCCAUGGAGACCCACCACGCCAAAUCCCACCACCCCAUGGAGACCCACAACCCCAACAUCUCACCACCCCAUGGGAUCCCACCACCCCAAAUCCACCACCCCAUGGAGACCCACCACCCCAAAUCCCACCACCCCAUGGAGACCCACAACCCCAACAUCUCACCACCCCAUGGGAUCCCACCACCCCAUGGGAUCCCACCACCCCAUGGAGACCCACCACCCCAGCAUCUCACCACCCCAUGGGAUCCCACCACCCCAUGGAGACCCAUCACCCCCACAUCUCCCCACCCCAUGGGAUCCCACCACCCCAAUACCUCACCACCCCAAAUCCCACCACCCCAUGGGAUCCCACCAUCCCAAAUCCCACCACCCCUGGGAGACCCACCACCCCACCACCCCAUGAGAUCCCACCACCCCAUGGGACCUCCAACCCUAUAGGAACCCCCCACCCCAUGGAGACCAACCACCACCCCAUGGAUACCACCACCCCAUGGGAUCCCACCACCCCAAAUCCCACCACCCCAUGGAGACCCAUCACCCCAACAUCUCACCACCCCAUGGGAUCCCACCACCCCAUGGAGUCCCACCACCCCAUGGGACCCACCACCCCAAAUCCCACCACCCCACAGAGACCCACCACCCCAGUACCCCACCACGCCAAAUCCCACCACCCCAUGGAGACCCACCACCCCAGCAUCUCACCACCCCAUGGGAUCCCACCACCCCAAAUCCCACCACCCCAUGGAGACCCAUCACCCCAACAUCUCACCACCCCAUGGAGACCCACAACCCCAGCAUCUCACCACCCCAUGGGAUCCCACCACCCCAAAUCCCACCACCCCAUGGGAUCCCACCACCCCAAAUUCCAGCACCUCAUGGGAUCUCACCACCCCAAAUCCCACCACCCCAUGGAGACCCAUCACCCCAACAUCCCACCACCCCAUGGAGACCCACCACCCCAGCAUCUCACCACCCCAUGGGAUCCCACCACCCCAAAUCCCACCACCCCAUGGGAUCCCACCACCCCAUAGAGACCCAUCACCCCAACAUCCCACCACCCUAUGGAGACCACCACCCCAGCAUCUCACCACCCCAGGGUACCCCACCACCCCAUGGGAUCCACCACUCCAUGGAGACCCAUCACCCCAACAUCUCAGAACCCCAUGGGAUCCCACCACCCCAUGGGAUCCCACCACCCCAUGGGAUCCCACCACCCCAGUUCCCCACCACCCCAUGGAGA
RNAcentral lists this long non-coding RNA (1438 nucleotides) under Numida meleagris (helmeted guineafowl). Its description in RNAcentral is "lncRNA (ENSNMEG00000006519.1)". The record is from RNAcentral. Lineage: Eukaryota; Metazoa; Chordata; Aves; Galliformes; Numididae.